UACGUAGGGUGCAAGCGUUGUCCGGAAUUAUUGGGCGUAAAGAGCUCGUAGGCGGUUUGUCGCGUCUGCUGUGAAAACGCGAGGCUCAACCUCGCGCCUGCAGUGGGUACGGGCAGACUAGAGUGCGGUAGGGGGAGAUUGGAAUUCCUGGUGUAGCGGUGGAAUGCGCAGAUAUCAGGAGGAACACCGAUGGCGAAGGCAGAUCUCUGGGCCGUAACUGACGCUGAGGAGCGAAAGGCGUGGGGAGCGAACAGG
Molecule: ribosomal RNA, 255 nt
Filed under: uncultured bacterium
Lineage: Bacteria
Description: partial 16S ribosomal RNA
Rfam family: Bacterial small subunit ribosomal RNA
Source: RNAcentral